Molecule: ribosomal RNA, 682 nt
Filed under: unidentified microorganism
Description: bacterial SSU rRNA
Rfam family: Bacterial small subunit ribosomal RNA
Source: RNAcentral
ACACAUGCAGUCGAGGGGUAUUGGUUUUCGGACCAAGAGACCGGCGCACGGGUGCGUAACGCGUAUGCAAUCUACCUUUCACAGAGGGAUAGCCCAGAGAAAUUUGGAUUAAUACCUCAUAGUAUGCAGAGUUGGCAUCAACACUGCAUUAAAGUCACAACGGUGAAAGAUGAGCAUGCGUCCCAUUAGCUUGUUGGUAAGGUAACGGCUUACCAAGGCAACGAUGGGUAGGGGUCCUGAGAGGGAGAUCCCCCACACUGGUACUGAGACACGGACCAGACUCCUACGGGAGGCAGCAGUGAGGAAUAUUGGUCAAUGGACGCAAGUCUGAACCAGCCAUGCCGCGUGCAGGAUGACGGUCCUAUGGAUUGUAAACUGCUUUUGUACNAGAAGAAACACUCCUACGUGUAGGANCUUGACGGUAUCGUAAGAAUAAGGAUCGGCUAACUCCGUGCCAGCAGCCGCGGUAAUACGGAGGAUCCAAGCGUUAUCCGGAAUCAUUGGGUUUAAAGGGUCCGUAGGCGGUUUAGUAAGUCAGUGGUGAAAGCCCAUCGCUCAACGGUGGAACGGCCAUUGAUACUGCUAGACUUGAAUUAUUAGGAAGUAACUAGAAUAUGUAGUGUAGCGGUGAAAUGCUUAGAGAUUACAUGGAAUACCAAUUGCGAAGGCAGGUUACUACUAA